UAGAUGUCGGUNUACGGCCCGGGUGCGAUGCCUGUCGCGUCGCCNGUAAAACGGCACGCGACAAACCCCCGGUCGCCCGGCCNGCCGCAAGAUAUCAGGCCAUUUUACGGUGCGUCNAUACCGUCGCAAGCGCGCGCCACGAUACUCGGAGGUUACGGACUUUGCGCCGUCCCCGGUCNUAGCCCGUUGUUGGUUACAGUACGGUACACCUUCGACAGACCUGCAAACGUCUCCCGCGGCGUUUGUCGAUCGA
Molecule: ribosomal RNA, 253 nt
Filed under: Camponotus linnaei
Lineage: Eukaryota; Metazoa; Arthropoda; Insecta; Hymenoptera; Formicidae
Description: partial 28S ribosomal RNA
Source: RNAcentral